RNAcentral lists this ribosomal RNA (215 nucleotides) under uncultured bacterium. RNAcentral describes it as "partial 16S ribosomal RNA". It matches the Rfam family "Bacterial small subunit ribosomal RNA", at positions 524 to 732 of the family's 1533-position model. The record is from RNAcentral.
UACGUAGGGUGCAAGCGUUAAUCGGAAUUACUGGGCGUAAAGCGUGCGCAGGCGGUUUUGUAAGCCAGAUGUGAAAAGCCCCGGGCGUCAACCUGGGAACGUGCGUUGGAAACUAGUCGGGCGUAGAGUGUAGAAGAGGGGGUAGGAAUUCCACGUGUAGCAGUGAAAUAGCGUAGAGAUGUGGAGGAAUACCGAUGGCGAAGGCAGCCCCUCGG